GACGAACGCUGGCGGCGUGCUUAACACAUGCAAGUCGAACGGAAAGGCCCUGCUUUUGUGGGGUGCUCGAGUGGCGAACGGGUGAGUAACACGUGAGUAACCUGCCCUUUACUUUGGGAUAACUUCAGGAAACUGGGGCUAAUACCGGAUAGGAGCUCCUGCUGCAUGGUGGGUGUUGGAAAGUUUCGGCGGUUGGGGAUGGACUCGCGGCUUAUCAGCUUGUUGGUGGGGUAGUGGCUUACCAAGGCUUUGACGGGUAGCCGGCCUGAGAGGGUGACCGGCCACAUUGGGACUGAGAUACGGCCCAGACUCCUACGGGAGGCAGCAGUGGGGAAUAUUGCAAAAUGGGCGGAAGCCUGAUGCAGCACCGCCGCGUGCGGGAUGACGGCCUUCGGGUUGUAACCCGCUUUCGCCUGUGACGAAGCGUGAGUGACGGUAAUGGGUAAAGAAGCACCGGCUAACUACGUG
Molecule: ribosomal RNA, 468 nt
Filed under: uncultured bacterium
Lineage: Bacteria
Description: partial 16S ribosomal RNA
Rfam family: Bacterial small subunit ribosomal RNA
Source: RNAcentral